Molecule: ribosomal RNA, 487 nt
Filed under: uncultured bacterium
Lineage: Bacteria
Description: partial 16S ribosomal RNA
Rfam family: Bacterial small subunit ribosomal RNA
Source: RNAcentral
AUUGAACGCUGGCGGCAGGCCUAACACAUGCAAGUCGAACGGUAGCACAGAGAGCUUGCUCUCGGGUGGCGAGUGGCGGACGGGUGAGUAAUGUCUGGGAAACUGCCCGAUGGAGGGGGAUAACUACUGGAAACGGUAGCUAAUACCGCAUAAUGUCGCAAGACCAAAGAGGGGGACCUUCGGGCCUCUUGCCAUCGGAUGUGCCCAGAUGGGAUUAGCUAGUUGGUGAGGUAAUGGCUCACCAAGGCGACGAUCCCUAGCUGGUCUGAGAGGAUGACCAGCCACACUGGAACUGAGACACGGUCCAGACUCCUACGGGAGGCAGCAGUGGGGAAUAUUGCACAAUGGGCGCAAGCCUGAUGCAGCCAUGCCGCGUGUAUGAAGAAGGCCUUCGGGUUGUAAAGUACUUUCAGCGGGGAGGAAGGCGAUACGGUUAAUAACCGUAUUGAUUGACGUGACCCGCAGAAGAAGCACCGGCUAACUCCGU